UGUUUCGGCUAGGGGGCCAUCCCGGCUUACCAACCCGAUGCAAACUGCGAAUACCGGAGAAUGUUAUCACGGGAGACACACGGCGGGUGCUAACGUCCGUCGUGAAGAGGGAAACAACCCAGACCGCCAGCUAAGGUCCCAAAGUCAUGGUUAAGUGGGAAACGAUGUGGGAAGGCCCAGACAGCCAGGAUGUUGGCUUAGAAGCAGCCAUCAUUUAAAGAAAGCGUAAUAGCUCACUGGUCGAGUCGGCCUGCGCGGAAGAUGUAACGGGGCUAAACCAUGCACCGAAGCUGCGGCAGCGAACGUAUCACUUAAAGCGAUUCAGCGGGUUACGAUUGACGGAGCGAAGCGACGUCAAAGCGUAUACAAAGUCGAGUCGGUUUAAGGAUACGUUCGUUGGGUAGGGGAGCGUUCUGUAAGCCUGUGAAGGUGGCCUGUGAGGGUUGCUGGAGGUAUCAGAAGUGCGAAUGCUGACAUAAGUAACGAUAAAGCGGGUGAAAAGCCCGCUCGCCGGAAGACCAAGGGUUCCUGUCCAACGUUAAUCGGGGCAGGGUGAGUCGACCCCUAAGGCGAGGCCGAAAGGCGUAGUCGAUGGGAAACGGGUUAAUAUUCCCGUACUUGGUGUUACUGCGAAGGGGGGACGGAGAAGGCUAUGUUGGCCGGGCGACGGUUGUCCCGGUUUAAGCGUGUAGGUGUGUGUUCCAGGUAAAUCCGGUUCACUUUAACACUGAGGCGUGACGACGAGGCACUACGGUGCUGAAGCAACAAAUGCCCUGCUUCCAGGAAAAGCCUCUAAGCAUCAGGUAACAUCAAAUCGUACCCCAAACCGACACAGGUGGUCAGGUAGAGAAUACCAAGGCGCUUGAGAGAACUCGGGUGAAGGAACUAGGCAAAAUGGUGCCGUAACUUCGGGAGAAGGCACGCUGACACGUAGGUGAAGUGAUUUACUCAUGGAGCUGAAGUCAGUCGAAGAUACCAGCUGGCUGCAACUGUUUAUUAAAAACACAGCACUGUGCAAACACGAAAGUGGACGUAUACGGUGUGACGCCUGCCCGGUGCCGGAAGGUUAAUUGAUGGGGUCAGCGCAAGCGAAGCUCCUGAUCGAAGCCCCGGUAAACGGCGGCCGUAACUAUAACGGUCCUAAGGUAGCGAAAUUCCUUGUCGGGUAAGUUCCGACCUGCACGAAUGGCGUAAUGAUGGCCAGGCUGUCUCCACCCGAGACUCAGUGAAAUUGAACUCGCUGUGAAGAUGCAGUGUACCCGCGGCAAGACGGAAAGACCCCGUGAACCUUUACUAUAGCUUGACACUGAACAUUGAGCCUUGAUGUGUAGGAUAGGUGGGAGGCUUUGAAGUGUGGACGCCAGUCUGCAUGGAGCCGACCUUGAAAUACCACCCUUUAAUGUUUGAUGUUCUAACGUGGACCCGUAAUCCGGGUUGCGGACAGUGUCUGGUGGGUAGUUUGACUGGGGCGGUCUCCUCCUAAAGAGUAACGGAGGAGCACGAAGGUUGGCUAAUCCUGGUCGGACAUCAGGAGGUUAGUGCAAUGGCAUAAGCCAGCUUGACUGCGAGCGUGACGGCGCGAGCAGGUGCGAAAGCAGGUCAUAGUGAUCCGGUGGUUCUGAAUGGAAGGGCCAUCGCUCAACGGAUAAAAGGUACUCCGGGGAUAACAGGCUGAUACCGCCCAAGAGUUCAUAUCGACGGCGGUGUUUGGCACCUCGAUGUCGGCUCAUCACAUCCUGGGGCUGAAGUAGGUCCCAAGGGUAUGGCUGUUCGCCAUUUAAAGUGGUACGCGAGCUGGGUUUAGAACGUCGUGAGACAGUUCGGUCCCUAUCUGCCGUGGGCGCUGGAGAACUGAGGGGGGCUGCUCCUAGUACGAGAGGACCGGAGUGGACGCAUCACUGGUGUUCGGGUUGUCAUGCCAAUGGCACUGCCCGGUAGCUAAAUGCGGAAGAGAUAAGUGCUGAAAGCAUCUAAGCACGAAACUUGCCCCGAG
RNAcentral lists this ribosomal RNA (1993 nucleotides) under Salmonella enterica subsp. enterica serovar Kentucky. RNAcentral describes it as "partial 23S ribosomal RNA". It matches the Rfam family "Bacterial large subunit ribosomal RNA", at positions 911 to 2803 of the family's 2925-position model. The record is from RNAcentral. Lineage: Bacteria; Pseudomonadati; Pseudomonadota; Gammaproteobacteria; Enterobacterales; Enterobacteriaceae.